CCGAAUCGAACCCAGGAGGGGGAACUCACAGCCGUGAGCCUUUUACCAAGAUCACAUUCUUUGUUUUAGGGUUUCGGUCAUCAAAACAAAAAAAAAUUGGAUUCCUUGUUCAUGGAGAUUCGCAUUGCAUAUUUGCAUGUAAAAAAGGAAAAAAAUUCUAUAGAUAGGGAAUGAAAUACUUAAUGUUUUAGCCAGUAAUUAAAAGACAAGAUCACAUUCUUUGUUUUAGGGUUUCGGUCAUCAAAACAAAAAAAAAAUUGGAUUCCUUGUUCAUGGAGAUUCGCAUUGCAUAUUUGCAUGUAAAAAAAGAAAAAAAUUCUAUAGAUAGGGAAUGAAAUACUUAAUGUUAAACAUGGAAGUAUAUCAUGAUCCCGUUUGACAUAAGAGUUAUAUCAUGAUUUUCUACCUUUUUUUUAAUGUUCUCCGCUCAUUCAUUAUUGGCUGUGAAGAACUAUCGCCAAAUCAUCUUUUUUUUUUUUCCGUCUAAAUCGCCAAAUCAUAUCAAGCACCAUUUUAAAAGGUAGGCUAAAGAAUCACUUUGUAAUAUUAUUGAAGAAUUUACAGAUGUAAAAUCGAGAAGUCUCAAAGAUUUUGUCUUUGGUCACCGCUGCUCUUAAGCUUUCAAGAAAAUCCGGUCACACUCACACAAUGUUAACCCUAUUAAAAUUGAAAUUGCUUCCCACAUCGACAUGUUAAUAUUGCGUUGUUGGUAAGACGAGAAUAUUAGGGUCUUGUUCACAUUCUAUUAU
This 749-nucleotide long non-coding RNA is filed under the name Arabidopsis lyrata. RNAcentral describes it as "long non-coding RNA (ALYR_LNC000910)". The record is from RNAcentral. Lineage: Eukaryota; Viridiplantae; Streptophyta; Magnoliopsida; Brassicales; Brassicaceae.